This 210-nucleotide ribosomal RNA is filed under the name Stegodyphus mimosarum. RNAcentral's name for it is "eukaryotic small subunit ribosomal RNA". The record is from RNAcentral. Lineage: Eukaryota; Metazoa; Arthropoda; Arachnida; Araneae; Eresidae.
UCAAUUAUGGUUCCUUGGACCGUAUUUUAUUACUUGGAUAACUUUGGCAAUUUAGAUUUAAUACAUGCAGCAGAGCUCCCACCUCUGGAACCGAACACUUUUAUUAGACCCAAACCAGUCAAACCUUGUGGCCCUAUUAUAUAAUGACUCUGUAUAACUUCGGGCUGAUCGCAUUGGCUUGUUCCGACGACGUAUCUUUCAUGUAUCUGC